Molecule: long non-coding RNA, 241 nt
Filed under: Chloebia gouldiae (Gouldian finch)
Lineage: Eukaryota; Metazoa; Chordata; Aves; Passeriformes; Passeridae
Description: Erythrura gouldiae (Gouldian finch) lncRNA (ENSEGOG00005001010.1)
Source: RNAcentral
GAACAUAUUCAUAGGUUAGAAAAGAAACAAAACCAACACCAUCCACAAAACAAAGUCAUGGUCCCUCCAGUGCAGCCAGCUCCAUCGUAAGGAAAUCCAGCACAGCACUUGGAUGCCAAACAAGAUGGGAUGAAACACUAAUUAUGGACUUCCACAGGACUUGGAAAGUGAUGAAGAAUGUGUGGAACAUCUGGAAAACAAGUGGUUGGAUGUGAUGGAGUAACUUGCUGAAAGUAGAAAC